Molecule: long non-coding RNA, 849 nt
Organism: Cherax quadricarinatus
Lineage: Eukaryota; Metazoa; Arthropoda; Malacostraca; Decapoda; Parastacidae
Source: RefSeq, a predicted model, not a curated record
AUUAUUAUAAUCAAGGGGGAAGCGCUAAACCCGGAAGAUUAUACAGCGCCUGGGGGGGGGGAUGUGGAAGGCAUUCAGGCUUAAUUCGGGGAACUGGAGCACAGAUCCAAUUCCCUAAAUCAAGAGCCCCUCACCAACAUCAAGGAACCUUCCUUGAGGGGAUUAGAGGCCUAGAAAUUACUAUUAACAUAUUCAUGAGAGCGCUAAACCCAUAUGUAAAUGUACGGCAUUCAGGUUUGAUUCAGGGAAGGGUAGAACAGAUCCAAUUCCUUUGGUCAAGAGUCCCUGAACACCAUCAAGACACCUCCCAGAAAGAGAAAAAUUCUCAGUGCAGUAUGUGUACGUAGUUGUCAAAGGUGAUUCACAUGCAACAUGUGCGAGAAGCAACCCAUGACACCACAUGCAGAACCUCACUACCGAGGAGUAAUAUCAGCAGUAACGAACAAGAUCAAGAUGAUGAUUAAGACCUUUUCCUGGAGGAACUCGUCCCGACGUUCAAAUGUUGUUGUUGAGUUGAUGGGCAACGACGGUCCUGAGGAGUUAGUCAUGGUCAGGGAUGACCAUGGUGGUGCAUGGCCGAGCAAAUGUAGACAGCCUGUACUCUCUGCAUAGACAGCCUAUGCUGUCUGCCAGCUGAGUUCAUAUUUCACGCCAUGCUUGUGCUGCCACCUAUAGGCCUAUGCCACUUCAGUAUGCCCAGACCAGCCUCUACCUUACUCACUCAGCGGCCUUCACUCAGUCAACAAGGACUACUCCUCUCUCCCUCGCUGGGCAUGGCCCUCCCGGGCCAUGGGCACUUAACACACUGCCUGUGUAUCCCACGACAUUGCAAAUAAAGUAAAAUGCCUC